Molecule: long non-coding RNA, 268 nt
Filed under: Homo sapiens (human)
Lineage: Eukaryota; Metazoa; Chordata; Mammalia; Primates; Hominidae
Description: non-protein coding lnc-RASGRF1-4:2
Source: RNAcentral
GACGCUCUGGGCCGCCACCUCCGCGGACCCUGAGCGCAAGAGCCAAGCCGCCAGCGCUGCGAUGUGGGCCACGCUGCCGCUGCUCUGCGCCGGGGCCUGGCUCCUGGGAGUCCCCGUCUGCGGUGCCGCCGAACUGUGCGUGAACUCCUUAGAGAAGUUUCACUUCAAGUCAUGGAUGUCUAAGGAAAACAAAAAGGUCUCCCUCUAGGGAGCUGCAGCCUGUUUCCAUGACUUGCUACUGGCGUGUUUUGUUUUAGCACCGUAAGAC